UACGGUCAGAUCACGUUGAAACACCAAUUUCUCUACGAUCACCGAAGUUAAGCAACGUCGAUCUUAGUCAGUACCUAAAUGGGUGACCACUUGGGAAUGCC
Non-coding RNA from Acanthosepion pharaonis, 101 nucleotides. Lineage: Eukaryota; Metazoa; Mollusca; Cephalopoda; Sepiida; Sepiidae. The record is from the annotation of a GenBank genome assembly.